RNAcentral lists this ribosomal RNA (911 nucleotides) under Coniella diospyri. Its description in RNAcentral is "partial 28S ribosomal RNA". It matches the Rfam family "Eukaryotic large subunit ribosomal RNA", at positions 38 to 978 of the family's 3401-position model. Lineage: Eukaryota; Fungi; Ascomycota; Sordariomycetes; Diaporthales; Schizoparmaceae. The record is from RNAcentral.
GCAUAUCAAUAAGCGGAGGAAAAGAAACCAACAGGGAUUGCCCUAGUAACGGCGAGUGAAGCGGCAACAGCUCAAAUUUGAAAUCUGGCUUCGGCCCGAGUUGUAAUUUGCAGAGGAUGUUUCUGGCGCGGUGCCUUCCGAGUUCCCUGGAACGGGACGCCACAGAGGGUGAGAGCCCCGUAUGGUUGGACACCAAGCCUGUGUGAAACUCCUUCAACGAGUCGAGUAGUUUGGGAAUGCUGCUCAAAAUGGGAGGUAAAUCUCUUCUAAAGCUAAAUACUGGCCAGAGACCGAUAGCGCACAAGUAGAGUGAUCGAAAGAUGAAAAGCACCUUGAAAAGGGGGUUAAACAGUACGUGAAAUUGUUGAAAGGGAAGCGCUCAUGACCAGACUUGUGCUGGGCAGCUCAUCCGGGGUUCUCCCCGGUGCACUCUGCCCAGUUCAGGCCAGCAUCGAUUUUUGCUGGGGGAUAAGAACAGUAGGAACGUGGCCCUCCUUCGGGCGGGUGUUAUAGCCUACUGUACGAUACCCUGGCGGAGAUCGAGGUUCGCGCAUCUGCAAGGAUGCUGGCGUAAUGGUCAUCAGCGACCCGUCUUGAAACACGGACCAAGGAGUCGUCCAUUAGAGCGAGCGUUUGGGUGUAAAACCCGCACGCGUAAUGAAAGUGAAAUUAGGUGAGAGCUUCGGCGCAUCAUCGACCGAUCCUGAUGUUUUCAGAUGGAUUUGAGUAAGAGUUUUAACGGACGGACCCGAAAGACAGUGAACUAUGCUUGUAUAGGGUGAAGCCAGAGGAAACUCUGGUGGAGGCUCGCAGCGGUUCUGACGUGCAAAUCGAUCGUCAAAUAUGAGCAUGGGGGCGAAAGACUAAUCGAACUGUCUAGUAGCUGGUUACCGCCGAAGUUCCCCUCAGGA